UACGGAGGAUGCAAGCGUUAUCCGGAUUUAUUGGGUUUAAAGGGUGCGCAGGUUGUUUGGUAAGUCAGUGGUGAAAGUCUGUCGCUUAACGACAGGAUUGCCAUUGAUACUGUUAAACUUGAGUAUGGGUGAGGUAUUCGGAAUGUGUAGUGUAGCGGUGAAAUGCAUAGAUAUUACACAGAACGCCGAUUGCGGAGGCAGGAUACUAGGCCAUUACUGACGCUGAGGCACGAAAGCGUGGGGAUCAAACAGGAUUAGAUA
This 261-nucleotide ribosomal RNA is filed under the name uncultured prokaryote. RNAcentral's name for it is "partial 16S ribosomal RNA". It matches the Rfam family "Bacterial small subunit ribosomal RNA", at positions 524 to 784 of the family's 1533-position model. The record is from RNAcentral.